AGCGGCGGACGGGUGAGUAACGCGUGGGUAACCUGCCUCAUACAGGGGGAUAACAGUUGGAAACGGCUGCUAAUACCGCAUAAGCGCACAGUACCGCAUGGUACGGUGUGAAAAACUCCGGUGGUAUGAGAUGGACCCGCGCCUGAUUAGCUAGUUGGUGGGGUAACGGCCUACCAAGGCGACGAUCAGUAGCCGACCUGAGAGGGUGACCGGCCACAUUGGGACUGAGACACGGCCCAA
RNAcentral lists this ribosomal RNA (240 nucleotides) under uncultured bacterium. Its description in RNAcentral is "partial 16S ribosomal RNA". It matches the Rfam family "Bacterial small subunit ribosomal RNA", at positions 94 to 334 of the family's 1533-position model. The record is from RNAcentral.